UGGGGAAUAUUGCACAAUGGGCGCAAGCCUGAUGCAGCCAUGCUGCGUGUAUGAAGAAGGCCUUCGGGUUGUAAAGUACUUUCAGCGGGGAGGAAGGGAGUAAAGUUAAUACCUUUGCUCAUUGACGUUACCCGCAGAAGAAGCACCGGCUAACUCCGUGCCAGCAGCCGCGGUAAUACGGAGGGUGCAAGCGUUAAUCGGAAUUACUGGGCGUAAAGCGCACGCAGGCGGUUUGUUAAGUCAGAUGUGAGAUCCCCGGGCUCAACCUGGGAACUGCAUCUGAUACUGGCAAGCUUGAGUCUCGUAGAGAGGGGUAGAAUUCCAGGUGUAGCGGUGAAAUGCGUAGAGAUCUGGAGGAAUACCGGUGGCGAAGGCGGCCCCCUGGACAAAGACUGACGCUCAGGUGCGAAAGCGUGGGGAGCAAACAGG
RNAcentral lists this ribosomal RNA (429 nucleotides) under Chloroflexota bacterium. Its description in RNAcentral is "Chloroflexi bacterium partial 16S ribosomal RNA". It matches the Rfam family "Bacterial small subunit ribosomal RNA", at positions 355 to 776 of the family's 1533-position model. Lineage: Bacteria; Bacillati; Chloroflexota. The record is from RNAcentral.